CAAUAGCGUAUAUUAAAGUUGUUGCAGUUAAAAAGCUCGUAGUUGGAUUUCUGGUGGGAGCGAUCGGUCUGGCGCUUAGCGCGAGUACUUGCAUCGUCUCCGGCCAUCCUUGGGGAGAGUCUGUCUGGCAUUAAGUUGUCGGGCAGAGGAUCCUCAUCGUUUACUGUGAAAAAAUUAGAGUGUUCAAAGCAGGCUUAUGCCGUUGAAUAUAUUAGCAUGGAAUAAUAAGAUAGGACUUUGGUACUAUUUUGUUGGUUUGCGCACCAAAGUAAUGAUUAAUAGGGACAGUUGGGGGUAUUCGUAUUCCGUUGUCAGAGGUGAAAUUCUUGGAUUUACGGAAGACGAGCUACUGCGAAAGCAUUUACCAAGGAUGCUUUCAUUAA
Molecule: ribosomal RNA, 383 nt
Filed under: uncultured eukaryote
Lineage: Eukaryota
Description: partial 18S ribosomal RNA
Rfam family: Eukaryotic small subunit ribosomal RNA
Source: RNAcentral